This 497-nucleotide ribosomal RNA is filed under the name uncultured bacterium. RNAcentral describes it as "partial 16S ribosomal RNA". It matches the Rfam family "Bacterial small subunit ribosomal RNA", at positions 32 to 507 of the family's 1533-position model. The record is from RNAcentral.
UCUUAACUCUGGCGGCGUGCCUAAUACAUGCAAGUCGAGCGAACGGACGAGAAGCUUGCUUUUCUGAUGUUAGCGGCGGACGGGUGAGUAACACGUGGAUAACCUACCUAUAAGACUGGGAUAACUUCGGGAAACCGGAGCUAAUACCGGAUAAUAUUUUGAACCGCAUGGUUCAAAAGUGAAAGACGGUCUUGCUGUCACUUAUAGAUGGAUCCGCGCUGCAUUAGCUAGUUGGUAAGGUAACGGCUUACCAAGGCAACGAUGCAUAGCCGACCUGAGAGGGUGAUCGGCCACACUGGAACUGAGACACGGUCCAGACUCCUACGGGAGGCAGCAGUAGGGAAUCUUCCGCAAUGGGCGAAAGCCUGACGGAGCAACGCCGCGUGAGUGAUGAAGGUCUUCGGAUCGUAAAACUCUGUUAUUAGGGAAGAACAUAUGUGUAAGUAACUGUGCACAUCUUGACGGUACCUAAUCAGAAAGCCACGGCUAACUACGUG